AGGAGGGUAGAAGGAACGCCUUUGAUGAAAAUGAAAUCAAUGGAAGCCAAGCCCCUCCUAUUCCUCUUCCUCUCCAAUCCAUCAAAAUCCAUUACCAUCUCUCCUUUCUCGCACCAGUUGUUAGCAUUGUUUUCUUCUUCAGUUGAUAUACCAAAGCACGCCACCAAUUCGGAAGCAGUAACAACAUUGACACAAGAAGAAGUAACCAAAAUCAACCUUCUAAUCCCACGUUUAUGUCUAUUAAACCACUUAACCACCGCAAUCCAAUUAAUCACAACGUCUCUCCUCGCUAACCCACCUCCAAAGUCCCUUUCUUUUUCCAUUCUCGCUCACUCUCUCACUACCCAACCAGACAUGACCAAACCCAUGUCACUUCUCACCAUUCUUAGGCACACGCCACAAGCACAUUCACAUCUUUCACCUAUAAACACCAUGCUUAUCACUUCAUAUAUAAAAAAGAAGAGACCCAAAGAGGCCUUGAAAGUGUACAAUUGGAUGCUUAGGCCUGGCUCUCCAUGUAAAGUUGAAAAGAUGUUAUUUUGUGUUUUGGUUAAUGGGUUGUGUGAGAUUGGUUGGGUUCUUGAGGGUUUGAAGGUCUUGAAAGACAUGGUUAGUGUGGGGUUUUUGCCUAUUGGUGGGUUAAAGGAAAGGGUCUAUAGGAGUUUGUUGAGCGAGGCUAGGGUGAAGGAGGCAGUGGAGUUAGAUAAGGCUUUAUGUGAAUGUUUUGAGGAUGUUAGUGGUGAGGGUGGUAAGAAAGUUAUUGACUUGUUGGAUUCUUUAAUUAGGAACUGGUCUGAGUAAGAAGCAGAGUAGCUUCCUAUAUCAAAAGUGUAAAAUUUCUUUUGAUACAUGUGGAUAGGUGGUCAUGCUGCAACUUUUACUCAAAGGAAGCUGGCCAAAUAUCCUAUUUUUGGAGUGCUUUUGGACAGAAAUUGGUUUAUCUGGAGCUUUCUGAGAACACUUUUGCUACUUUGGCUAUAGUUAUUUAAAAUAUGACUAUAUUCCCUUCUUCGUUUUCCAUAUCUCUAGUUUUCUUCUCUCGCCAUAGUUAGUGUAGUGUUGCAAUGCCCCACCUCCAAAGACAAGGAUAUUGGCUUGAUCAUUUUUUUACGUUGUCCAAUUUUGCCUUGCUGCAUAAAUGUUGAAGUCAGAAAUUGAGAAAGUCUUGAUGGUUGUGGUUACUUUCCUAACAUUGCAUUCUGCUCAUAGUUGGAUCAUUCUUUUCUGUUACCUCAUUUAGCGCUCACAUGCUUUGAAAAAUAUUUUGUUUCUGCCUUGAACAGCUUAUAAUGUUUUCCAUGUAAGUUCUUGACUCAUUAUAUAACUGCUAUGUCCUUACUUGACCACCAUAUUAUGUUAUAUUGUACUAUAAUUUAGCUUUAUAUUCUUUAGAUUCUGUAUAGCUCUCUCUCAUUAUUGUUUUUCUGUGUGGCAGUCUGAAGGUUUUACAUUAUAGACGACGCAAUGAGUUUCUGAGACCACUCUCUAUCUCCGUCAAAUCCUUUUUGAGCAGGCCGUGCUUUGCCAUUCAGGAAUAUCAAGGCACCGAUUCUCUCUCCGUCAGUUUCUUUCUUAAGUUUUUGGUCCUUGUGAUGUUUGUUCCAACAAUACUGUGGAGCUAUCAUAUAGGAUUGAAGGAAGCAAACAUAUUGCCAUUUUAUUUGGGAAUAGGAGAUGAUAGGAUGGCUAUUGAUGUGAUAUCAAUGUUUUAAGAUUAGGGAAAGCUCACAUGCCAUUCUGACUCGAGUACAGAGUAUCUUCUUUUUCGGGGGUCUAGGACUUAUGUAUCAUCUGGAAGACUUUAAUCUCAUCCGUGCUACUUUCCUUGUAAACUUACAGAUUCAAUUAUUCGUAUUUUACCCACUUUUGUUCCUCUUCUACAAUAGUUAUAUGUGGAGUUAGCAACAUUUUUGUGAAGGAUUUCUCCUUAAGUGCACAAAUGCUGCAAAAGAGAGAUCCUUGCCUAGCUGAUAAUUAUGUUAUGUUAUCCAGUCAAAUAUCCUCAGCAUAUCACCAUAGAAGACUUCAGGAACUGUAAUUUUUUCCUUCUCUACAUUCUUUUCGCCAGAUUUCAAGGAAGAAUAACACACGCCAAGGCGUCUGUUAGUUCUGUCUGAUCACUCUGGCAGAUGAGAAAUGGCCCAAAUGAUUUGUCAGCUCGGGGCAAGUUUGUAUCUGAUUGAAAGGCCCUGUAUUCCUGUUUUCUCACUGGCCCGAUCCAUUAGCUUGUUUAAACAACUAUUUAUUUUAAAUGUUUAUUAUUAUUUAUUACAUUUUGGAAUGAUAUGUGUGUACUGCUUACUAUCUGGUAGUAAAAGUGAUGCACAAUAUUUGCUGUC
Populus euphratica (Euphrates poplar) is the source of this 2339-nucleotide RNA transcript. RefSeq lists it as uncharacterized. NCBI's taxonomy places the organism in Eukaryota, Viridiplantae, Streptophyta, Magnoliopsida, Malpighiales, Salicaceae. The transcript has 3 exons. The record is from RefSeq and is a predicted model, not a curated record.